Molecule: ribosomal RNA, 492 nt
Filed under: uncultured bacterium
Lineage: Bacteria
Description: partial 16S ribosomal RNA
Rfam family: Bacterial small subunit ribosomal RNA (bases 14-380)
Source: RNAcentral
GACGAACGCUGGCGGCGUGCUUAACACAUGCAAGUCGAACGGUGAAGCGCCUUCCUUUUUGGUGGGUGUGGAUGAGUGGCGAACGGGUGAGUAACACGUGAGUAACCUGCCCCCUUCUUCUGGAUAACCGCAUGAAAGUGUGGCUAAUACGGGAUAUUCUGGGUCUGUCGCAUGAUGGGUCUGGGAAAGAUAUUGUUUCGGUGGGGGAUGGGCUCGCGGCCUAUCAGCUUGUUGGUGGGGUGAUGGCCUACCAAGGCGGUGACGGGUAGCCGGCCUGAGAGGGGGACGGUAACACGGGGGAUUGAGACCGGGCCGGGCUCCGUACGGAGGGAAGGGGUGGGAAAAAUGGCAAAGGGGGGGCAGGCGGGAUGCAGCGCGCCCGGGGGGGGGUGGGUGCCUUGUGGUGUGGGACCUUUUUCGGACGGGGAGGAGGGCCUGCUUCUUUGGGGGGGGGUUGGCGGGAGGUGGAAAAAGAGGCGCGGGCAAACUAGG